Molecule: unclassified non-coding RNA, 252 nt
Filed under: Hevea brasiliensis (rubber tree)
Lineage: Eukaryota; Viridiplantae; Streptophyta; Magnoliopsida; Malpighiales; Euphorbiaceae
Source: RNAcentral
UUUUCCACAAUAAAAAAACACUUAAAAUGUUUAUAUUUAGGGCUCAAAGUCUCAAACAUCCAUUUGAUGACCUCAACUGGCCACAAAAUAUUUUGAAUAUCAUAAUUUAGUUUUGUUGCUCAAACAACCUUGCUAUUAACAACAAUUCUCUAAAACCAAGAGAGAGUGAAGAAGGUCCGCAUCUUUGAUGGGGCCAUAGUGAAACUUUAGCCAUGAUGGAUUCACCUAUGGCUGCGUUGAGAAGGAAGAGUG